Magnolia sinica is the source of this 284-nucleotide long non-coding RNA. RefSeq lists it as uncharacterized. The record is from RefSeq and is a predicted model, not a curated record. Lineage: Eukaryota; Viridiplantae; Streptophyta; Magnoliopsida; Magnoliales; Magnoliaceae. The transcript is spliced from 3 exons.
AAAUAAUAUACUUUCUGGUAUUAUCCCAUCCACCAUUGGAAAACACCUAUUAUUGAUGCAGAUGUUUUAAUGUUGAUACGUUGGAGUACAAGAAAAUCAGCUUCACUAUUUGGGAUGUCGGGGGUCAGGACAAGAUCAGACUGUUAUGGAGGCACUAUUUCCAAAACACACAGGGACUCAUUUUUGUUGUUGACAGCAAUGACAGAGACCGUGUAGUUAAGGCAGGGGAUGAACUCCCAGGAUGCUGAAUGAGUUAAAUUUUCUUCAAAAAAGAAGGUAUUCAA